UUUCAUUUCUUCCCCUCGCCUGAUUGCUCCGGCUAGGACUUCCAAUCACUUAUUUUGUUUAGUACUUCGUUUUAAUUUUUCGCUCUGACUGAACCCAACAUUAAAAAGAAAUCUGGCUGAAGCAGAUGGAUUACCUGAGGUCAGGAGUUCGAGACCAGCCUCGCCAACAUGGUGAAACCCCAUCUCUACUAAAAAUACAAAAAUUAGCCGGGUGCGAUGGCAUGCGCCUAUAGUCCCAGCUACUCAGGAGGGUGAGGCAGUAGAAUUGCUUCAACCUGGGAGGUGGAGGUUCCAGUAAACCGAGACCGUGCCACUGCACUCCAGCCUGGGUGACAGAAUGAGACUCCAUCUAAAAAAAAAAAAAAAAAGAAAAGAAAAGAAGAAAAAGAAGUCUGAAUUGACAGAGAGUACCUCAGUCACUCACCUAAGGCUCAAUGAUGAUGAUGCUAUGACUGCCGCCCUCUGCUAAUGGCUCUUCG
RNAcentral lists this long non-coding RNA (479 nucleotides) under Rhinopithecus bieti (black snub-nosed monkey). RNAcentral's name for it is "lncRNA (ENSRBIG00000045610.1)". Lineage: Eukaryota; Metazoa; Chordata; Mammalia; Primates; Cercopithecidae. The record is from RNAcentral.